This 514-nucleotide ribosomal RNA is filed under the name uncultured Glomus. RNAcentral's name for it is "SSU rRNA". It matches the Rfam family "Eukaryotic small subunit ribosomal RNA", at positions 539 to 1063 of the family's 1831-position model. Lineage: Eukaryota; Fungi; Glomeromycota; Glomeromycetes; Glomerales; Glomeraceae. The record is from RNAcentral.
UCUCGGGAGGGCAAGUCUGGUGCCAGCAGCCGCGGUAAUUCCAGCUCCAAUAGCGUAUAUUAAAGUUGUUGCAGUUAAAAAGCUCGUAGUUGAAUUUCGGGAUCAGUACGCUGGUCGUGCCUUCGGUAUGAACUGGUGUCACUGGUUCCUCCCUUCUGAAGAACCGUCAUGCCAUUCAGUUGGUGUGGCGGGAAAUCAGGACUGUUACUUUGAAAAAAUUAGAGUGUUUAAAGCAGGCUCGCGCUUGAAUACAUUAGCAUGGAAUAAUGGAAUAGGACGUUUGACCCUAUUUUGUUGGUUUCUAGGAUCGACGUAAUGAUUAAUAGGGAUAGUUGGGGGCAUUAGUAUUCAAUUGUCAGAGGUGAAAUUCUUGGAUUUAUUGAAGACUAACUACUGCGAAAGCAUUUGCCAAGGAUGUUUCCAUUAAUCAAGAACGAAAGUUAGGGGAUCGAAGACGAUCAGAUACCGUCGUAGUCUUAACCAUAAACUAUGCCGACUAGGGAUCGGAUGAUGU